GUUCUCACAGGGUUCUCCGUGUGUUACAGGGUUCUCCGUGUUUAACAGGGUUCUCCGAGUGUUACAGGGUUCUCACCAUGUUACAGGGUUCUCCGAGUGUUACAGGGUUCUCCGUGUUUAACAGGGUUCUCGGAGUGUUACAGGGUUCUCACCGUGUUACAGGGUUCUCCGUGUUUAACAGGGUUCUCGGAGUGUUACAGGGUUCUCACCGUGUUACAGGGUUCUCCGUGUUUAACAGGGUUCUCGGAGUGUUACAGGGUUCUCACCGUGUUACAGGGUUCUCGGAGUGUUGCAGGGUUCUCGGAGUGUUACAGGGUUCUCACCGUGUUGCAGGGUUCUCCGUGUUUAACAGGGUUCUGCGAGUGUGUGUGAGUGUUAUCUGUGUCAUUUUGUGCGGUGUUGAUGUAUAAUCUGAGAUCUUUUUGUUUGUUGUUGGUUUGUAGGAUUUUACGGAGAUUAAACGCAGGUGCAGACAAACUUUCCCCCAAAUCCCCUCAGCGCUGCUGCUUUAGUCGAGAUCACAGCGGCGCUGCGACGCUUCUGAUCUCCGCUCAGGCGUAAACACUCGUCACACUUCAGCACCGCCACCAAGCCUUACACCUGCUGAUCGCCAGCGCUGUGCGCAGCGGUCAUGAGCACGCCCAGCCUCUCCUUCAUCGAACUGUCAUCGCGAGUCCUCCGCAGGAGCGUUUGUUCCUGAUCCCGCGACUCUGUGUAAGUUCCCGUACACGGAGACUCACUAACGUGACCCUCGGCUGAUGGUGUAACUGUCCGUGAGUUUCCGUGGCGUUCUAUACGGGUCACGCCGUCACGUUUAAAUCGCUCCUUCAUUUCAAUCACACAACGAGUCAAUAAUCAUCUCAUCACCGUCAGUUAAUCACCUGACAUUCCAAACGCGAUUCCAAACAAAUCCAUCCAUUUACAAAUAACAAACAACCCUAGCCCUUCCACUAGGACAAAGUAUUGGCACCGUGUACAAGGAGGAGGAGUCAGUGUGUGUACAAAAUGCUGUGUGUUUGUCCCUCUAGGGAAGAACCCUUAAAAACCCCUGCGACAGAUGUUCCAAAGUUUCCAAGUUAUGGACUCUUAUAUAUUAAUGUUUUAUAUUAAUUU
This is a long non-coding RNA of Ictalurus punctatus (channel catfish), 1113 nucleotides long. Lineage: Eukaryota; Metazoa; Chordata; Actinopteri; Siluriformes; Ictaluridae. The record is from Ensembl.